AAAUUGAAGAGUUUGAUCAUGGCUCAGAUUGAACGCUGGCGGCAGGCCUAACACAUGCAAGUCGAACGGUAACAGGAAGCAGCUUGCUGCUUUGCUGACGAGUGGCGGACGGGUGAGUAAUGUCUGGGAAACUGCCUGAUGGAGGGGGAUAACUACUGGAAACGGUGGCUAAUACCGCAUAACGUCGCAAGACCAAAGAGGGGGACCUUCGGGCCUCUUGCCAUCAGAUGUGCCCAGAUGGGAUUAGCUAGUUGGUGAGGUAACGGCUCACCAAGGCGACGAUCCCUAGCUGGUCUGAGAGGAUGACCAGCCACACUGGAACUGAGACACGGU
RNAcentral lists this ribosomal RNA (333 nucleotides) under Salmonella enterica subsp. enterica serovar Infantis. Its description in RNAcentral is "bacterial SSU rRNA". It matches the Rfam family "Bacterial small subunit ribosomal RNA", at positions 1 to 330 of the family's 1533-position model. The record is from RNAcentral. RNAcentral also lists the same sequence under 5 other names. Lineage: Bacteria; Pseudomonadati; Pseudomonadota; Gammaproteobacteria; Enterobacterales; Enterobacteriaceae.